UACGUAGGGGGCAAGCGUUGUCCGGAUUUAUUGGGCGUAAAGCGCUCGUAGGUGGUUCGUUGCGUCGUGCGUGAAAGACCCCGGCUCAACUGGGGAGGGUCGUGCGAUACGGUCGGACUGGAGGCCAGUAGGGGGAUGCGGAAUUCCGGGUGUAGUGGUGGAAUGCGUAGAGAUCCGGAGGAACACCAGCGGCGAAGGCGGCAUCCUGGACUGGUCCUGACACUCAUGAGCGAAAGCGUGGGGAGCGAUCCGG
This 253-nucleotide ribosomal RNA is filed under the name uncultured bacterium. RNAcentral describes it as "partial 16S ribosomal RNA". It matches the Rfam family "Bacterial small subunit ribosomal RNA", at positions 524 to 776 of the family's 1533-position model. The record is from RNAcentral.